GGAGGUAUAGCUCAAGUGGUAGAGUUCCUGCUUAGCAUGCACAAGGUCCUGGGUUCAAUCCCCAGUACCUCCA
Molecule: transfer RNA, 73 nt
Organism: Camelus ferus (Wild Bactrian camel)
Lineage: Eukaryota; Metazoa; Chordata; Mammalia; Artiodactyla; Camelidae
Rfam family: tRNA
About the family: Transfer RNA (tRNA) molecules are approximately 80 nucleotides in length. Their secondary structure includes four short double-helical elements and three loops (D, anti-codon, and T loops).
Source: Rfam